RNAcentral lists this long non-coding RNA (266 nucleotides) under Prunus persica (peach). Its description in RNAcentral is "long non-coding RNA (PPER_LNC007305)". The record is from RNAcentral. Lineage: Eukaryota; Viridiplantae; Streptophyta; Magnoliopsida; Rosales; Rosaceae.
ACAUAACAACUCUCUCCAUACAAAUGACACAUCACCAAGUAAUUAUUGAGUGCGAGCAGCUGCCCCCAGUGGGCCUUUAGCUGCCUCGGUCCUACUCCUACGUACCUAAUUCAUAUGGAAGCUAGCUAACAAACCUGUCAAAUGUAAAAACAAAGGGAAGAAGAUGGUUAAAGGUAAUUAUGAAUCUUCACCCCGUGCAAUUCGUUUCAUUAUAGCAUGAAAAGCUAUACUUUAUUCAAGCCUGCCUCAUUACGGGCUGAAAUUAC